AAUGAGGUGGCUGAAAAUUUAGGCUAUAAAUUGUAAAUUUAUAUAUGGUUUAACCCCUUAUUA
Molecule: transfer RNA, 63 nt
Filed under: Myrmedobia distinguenda
Lineage: Eukaryota; Metazoa; Arthropoda; Insecta; Hemiptera; Microphysidae
Description: tRNA-Tyr
Source: RNAcentral